UGCAGAUAUUAGCACGGGACUGUUUUCGGCGCUACACCAGAGAACUCCAGCCGUAAGUUAGGAGCUUUUUACACACAGCUGAGCCUAAUAAUAAACUAACUGCGCUUACUGAGGAAAGCUGAGAGUCUCACAGCAUAAAAUCACUAAAACAGGUCAGUGAUACUCCAGAACCAGCUGUAACACGUUUUAACAUUUACCCUCUUGAUUAUGCAGUGGAAUAAAUUGGUGUUUCUGGUUCAUUGUCGCCUCAGUGAGAGCAGGUAGUUAGUUGAUUAGUUGAUUAGUUAGUUGUUAGUUGAUGAUUUGGGUCAGGUGUUGUAAUUAGUAUAAACUAAUGACCGUGAUUAAAUAGUAAACCCUUUGGGGGAAGCGUUGCUAAACUGAGAACCACUUUCUUUUAGUAUCUGCCUUUUAAAGCUCUAACACAGACUACACUGCUCAACAUCACACUGCUCAACAUUACUGAAAGAGUUUUCACCUGUUUAAAUGCUUUAAUGAGCCUCUGUGAAGAAGCAUAAUAAUCCAAAACGCUUUCUAAUGGGAGUUCACUGGUGUUGUGCAGACUCCAGUCCGGGGUCUCUUCCAGCCGCUGUGCUGUGACGUCAGUUAAGCAUUAGCUUAAAGUUAGCAUUUUUCUGAUUACUUCCCUUAAACAAUCUCGAAAUUCAGAGGAUCCAGUGAUAUUUAGGAGGUAAAUGUACACAGAAUAAAACGUACAGGGUUCUGAACAUAUUUAUUUACCACAGAAUGUGACAGAGGCCAGUUUUUGAAAAGCCCAUUCAAAUCCCGUAUUGACUUGGACGGCUUAGACACGGAACCCCAAAGGAGCCCCAAAUAUGGGCAUAAACAACAUGGCUCGGACUACAAAAUUACAACAGGACUUCAGUGGUCUAUGAGCACAACAAGUGGACAGUGGGAUUUUCCAAGACCACACGCUCUCCUCCGCGACCUUUCACCCCGUAUCUUUGUAUCCAUGGCAACAACACUGACCGGGAAGACAGGAAGCAGAGCCACAUCAUUAAAGCGGGAAAGAGGGAAAAAACGGUAAACAAGUUUCAAGGACUGCGGCGAACGACUGUAGUGCGGUGCUUCACUGUUUCCUAAUAAGCCCCUGUCAAUACCAUGACUACUUAAUGCACAAUUACACCAUCACACUCGACAGCCAGGGCAGCACCAGCCUCUGAGAGGAGGGAGGAGAGACACUACUGUGAAGAAUUCCUCACAAUACCUUCACUCAUAAACACCAGCAGAAGAACAGAGCACUAACAUAAGCCCUGAUCUCAUUUCAGUCCAGUCAAUAUCACAAUAAUUUUCCUUAACUGUGUUUCAUAUUAAUCAAACUUACACAAAUCCUAUUUUCCUACGCUAUCUUAAUCAUUUAUAUUUUAAUUUUUUAUUUCCUAUCAUGCAUGCAUGUGUCCAUCCUGUUACAGCAAGCUGUGUGAAAAUUGGGAUUUAAUGAAAACAUUCAUGUUUUGUUUAAAAGUUUGGACACACUUUAAAUUCAGUGGUUUAAAAA
RNAcentral lists this long non-coding RNA (1519 nucleotides) under Astyanax mexicanus (Mexican tetra). Its description in RNAcentral is "lncRNA (ENSAMXG00005021727.1)". Lineage: Eukaryota; Metazoa; Chordata; Actinopteri; Characiformes; Acestrorhamphidae. The record is from RNAcentral.